GGGCCGUUAGCUCAAUCGGCAGAGCAGCGGACUUUUAAUCCGCGGGUUCAGGGUUCGAUCCCCUGGCGGCCUA
This 73-nucleotide transfer RNA is filed under the name Murinocardiopsis flavida. Its description in RNAcentral is "Nocardiopsis sp. 14-Be-013 tRNA". It matches the Rfam family "tRNA". From Rfam's summary of the family: Transfer RNA (tRNA) molecules are approximately 80 nucleotides in length. The record is from Rfam by way of RNAcentral. Lineage: Bacteria; Bacillati; Actinomycetota; Actinomycetes; Streptosporangiales; Nocardiopsidaceae.